GACGAACGCUGGCGGCGUGCUUAACACAUGCAAGUCGAACGGAAAGGCCCUGCUUUUGUGGGGUGCUCGAGUGGCGAACGGGUGAGUAACACGUGAGUAACCUGCCCUUGACUUUGGGAUAACUUCAGGAAACUGGGGCUAAUACCGGAUAGGAGCUCCUGCUGCAUGGUGGAGGUUGGAAAGUUUCGGCGGUUGGGGAUGGACUCGCGGCCUAUCAGCUUGUUGGUGGGGUAGUGGCUUACCAAGGCUUUGACGGGUAGCCGGCCUGAGAGGGUGACCGGCCACAUUGGGACUGAGAUACGGCCCAGACUCCUACGGGAGGCAGCAGUGGGGAAUAUUGCACAAUGGGCGGAAGCCUGAUGCAGCAACGCCGCGUGCGGGAUGACGGCCUUCGGGUUGUAAACCGCUUUCGCCUGUGACGAAGCGUGAGUGACGGUAAUGGGUAAAGAAGCACCGGCUAACUACGUG
RNAcentral lists this ribosomal RNA (468 nucleotides) under uncultured bacterium. RNAcentral's name for it is "partial 16S ribosomal RNA". It matches the Rfam family "Bacterial small subunit ribosomal RNA", at positions 28 to 507 of the family's 1533-position model. The record is from RNAcentral.